UGUACUGAGACACGGACCAGACUCCUACGGGAGGCAGCAGUGAGGAAUAUUGGUCAAUGGGCGCAAGCCUGAACCAGCCAUGCCGCGUGCAGGAAGAAUGCCCUAUGGGUUGUAAACUGCUUUUAUUCGGGAAUAAACCCUCUUACGUGUAGGAGGCUGAAGGUACUGAAUGAAUAAGCACCGGCUAACUCCGUGCCAGCAGCCGCGGUAAUACGGAGGGUGCAAGCGUUAUCCGGAAUCAUUGGGUUUAAAGGGUCCGCAGGCGGUCUUAUAAGUCAGUGGUGAAAUCUCGCAGCUCAACUGCGAAACUGCCAUUGAUACUGUAGGACUUGAAUGUGGUCGAAGUGGGCGGAAUAUGACAUGUAGCGGUGAAAUGCUUAGAUAUGUCAUAGAACACCGAUAGCGAAGGCAGCUCACUAGGCCACGAUUGACGCUCAUGGACGAAAGCGUGGGGAGCAACCAGGAUUAGAUACCCUGGUAGUCCACGCCGUAAACUAUCAAUACUCGUUUUCGGCGAUAUACAGUCGGAGACUAAGCGAAAGUGAUAAGUAUUGCACCUGGGGAGUACGAUCGCAAGGUUGAAACUCAAAGGAAUUGACGGGGGCCCGCACAAGCGGUGGAGCAAGUGGUUUAAUUCGAUGAUACGCGAGGAACCUUACCAGGGCUUAAAUGCAGAACGCAUGGUGUGGAAACAUGCCAGUCUUCGGACGGUCUGCAAGGUGCUGCAUGGCUGUCGUCAGCUCGUGCCGUGAGGUGUUGGGUUAAGUCCCGCAACGAGGGCAACCCCUAUCUUUAGUUGCCAGCGGGUUAUGCCGGGGACUCUAAAGAAACUGCCAGCGCAAGCUGAGAGGAAGGCGGGGACGACGUCAAGUCAUCACGGCCCUUACGUCCUGGGCCACACACGUGCUACAAUGGCAGGUACAGAGGGCAGCUACCCCGCGAGGGGAUGCGAAUCUCUAAAGCCUGUCUCAGUUCGGAUUGGAGUCUGCAACUCGACUCUAUGAAGCUGGAAUCGCUAGUAAUCGCGCAUCAGCCAUGGCGCGGUGAAUACGUUCCCGGGCCUUGUACACACCGCCCGUCAAACAAUGGAAGCUGGGGGUGCCUGAAGUCGGUAACCGUAAGGAGCUGCCUAGGGUAAAACUAGUAACUGGUGUUAAGUCGUAACAAGGUAGCCGUACCGGAAGGUGCGGCUG
This 1193-nucleotide ribosomal RNA is filed under the name metagenome. Its description in RNAcentral is "bacterial SSU rRNA". It matches the Rfam family "Bacterial small subunit ribosomal RNA", at positions 315 to 1520 of the family's 1533-position model. The record is from RNAcentral.